Molecule: ribosomal RNA, 537 nt
Filed under: Aureobasidium pullulans
Lineage: Eukaryota; Fungi; Ascomycota; Dothideomycetes; Dothideales; Saccotheciaceae
Description: eukaryotic LSU rRNA
Rfam family: Eukaryotic large subunit ribosomal RNA
Source: RNAcentral
GCACGCUCAAUCCAAAGCUGUAUUCGGGUUCGCAUUGUAAUUUGUAGAGGAUGAUUUGGGGAAGCCGCCUGUCUAAGUUCCUUGGAACAGGACGUCAUAGAGGGUGAGAAUCCCGUAUGUGACAGGAAAUGGCACCCUAUGUAAAUCUCCUUCGACGAGUCGAGUUUGUUUGGGAAUGCAGCUCUAAAUGGGAGGUAAUUUCUUCUAAAGCUAAAUAUUGGCGAGAGACCGAUAGCGCACAAGUAGAGUGAUCGAAAGAUGAAAAGCACUUUGGAAAGAGAGUUAAAAAGCACGUGAAAUUGUUGAAAGGGAAGCGCUUGCAAUCAGACUUGUUUAAACUGUUCGGCCGGUCUUCUGACCGGUUUACUCAGUUUGGACAGGCCAGCAUCAGUUUCGGCGGCCGGAUAAAGGCUCUGGGAAUGUGGCCUCCACUUCGGUGGAGGUGUUAUAGCCCAGGGGUGUAAUACGGCCAGCCGGGACUGAGGUCCGCGCUUCGGCUAGGAUGCUGGCGUAAUGGUUGUAAGCGACCCGGUUCUU